CUUCUCACUACAUUCUCGCGACUAAUGACAAUCCUUAUAUGCCUGACAAGGUGGCAAUAAAGUCUCUCAUUAGCCGCGCGAAAACAUCUGUAACGGAAGUUCAUGUUCUUAGAAUAACAGUAGAAACAGCAGCCAUACAGUACCCUGAUUUGGCUGCGCUUCCUAGAAUAAAGGGGCCUAUUGGCCCCUUUAC
This is a small RNA of Rahnella aquatilis, 193 nucleotides long. It matches the Rfam family "SraG RNA". Rfam says of the family: This RNA was discovered in E. coli during a large scale screen. NCBI's taxonomy places the organism in Bacteria, Pseudomonadati, Pseudomonadota, Gammaproteobacteria, Enterobacterales, Yersiniaceae. The record is from Rfam.